AUUGAACGCUGGCGGCAGGCCUAACACAUGCAAGUCGAGCGGAUGAAGGGAGCUUGCUCCUGGAUUCAGCGGCGGACGGGUGAGUAAUGCCUAGGAAUCUGCCUGGUAGUGGGGGAUAACGUCCGGAAACGGGCGCUAAUACAGCAUACGUCCUGAGGGAGAAAGUGGGGGAUCUUCGGACCUCACGCUAUCAGAUGAGCCUAGGUCGGAUUAGCUAGUUGGUGGGGUAAAGGCCUACCAAGGCGACGAUCCGUAACUGGUCUGAGAGGAUGAUCAGUCACACUGGAACUGAGACACGGUCCAGACUCCUACGGAAGGCAGCAGAGGGGAAUAUUGGACAAUGGGCGAAAGCCUGAUCCAGCCAUGCCGCGGGUGUGAAGAAGGUCUUCGGAUGGUAAAGCACUUUAAGUUGGGAGGAAGGGCAGUAAGUUAAGACCUUGCUGUUUUGACGUUACCAACAGAAUAAGCACCGGCUAACUUCGU
Molecule: ribosomal RNA, 483 nt
Filed under: uncultured bacterium
Lineage: Bacteria
Description: partial 16S ribosomal RNA
Rfam family: Bacterial small subunit ribosomal RNA
Source: RNAcentral